UACGGAGGAUGCGAGCGUUAUCCGGAUUUAUUGGGUUUAAAGGGUGCGCAGGCGGAUUUUUAAGUCAGCGGUCAAAUCGUGGGGCUCAACCCCAUCCAGCCGUUGAAACUGGGGAUCUAGAGUGUGCGAGAGGUAUGCGGAAUGCGUGGUGUGGCGGUGAAAUGCAUAGAUAUCACGCAGAACCCCGAUUGCGAAGGCAGCAUACCGGUGCACAACUGACGCUCAGGCACGAAAGCGUGGGUGUCGAACAGG
This 252-nucleotide ribosomal RNA is filed under the name uncultured bacterium. RNAcentral describes it as "partial 16S ribosomal RNA". It matches the Rfam family "Bacterial small subunit ribosomal RNA", at positions 524 to 776 of the family's 1533-position model. The record is from RNAcentral.